AUGUUCUCUAGAUGUCUACAAGACUUGAAUGCUAGAGUCAAUACAAUAAUACAAUACUACCAACCUUACCAUCUCUGACUUCUUGAUAAAUGAAGACCAUCAUGCCAUCAUUCCAUUCCAUGUGUUGGAUUUGAUUGGUUAAACAAACCAACACCACAUCCCCCUUUUCUUUCGACUGAAAAUAUGUCUCAAGAUCAACAUCACCAUCAUUUUCUAAUUUGUUGAAUUAUUUAAAUCCUACAACAUGCUUGCAAACUUACUUGAGCCUCUACCUCCCAUCACUCCCAUGAUAUUUUUUAUCAAUAUUCACGGAUGACUUUAUUUAUUCAUACAUGUCUAUCAAAAAAAAAAAAAAAAAAAAACUCAAACCUUCAACUCUCUCUCGGCUCUAAACUCCCAGCCAAACCUUAUCCAUUUCACCUUCAUCCCUCAAUCUCUACUACACACACAUGAAAAUCAGGUCCUACCCAUCUCACACAUCUCAAACAAAACACUUCAGAUCUUAAAGGAAUUGACCAACCACGGCGGUGGAGACGGUGCACGGUGGUGGAGGCGGUGCAUGGCGAUGGUGGGUCUCAGCGGCACUGCAGUCCACGACCCCCCCCCCUCACGAAAUUUCCGAUGACGAUGGUGAUGAUGGUGAUGACAAAAGACGGGGGUGUCUGAUCGGCGACGAUUAUGGCUUCGACAAACCUUCGACAGGCCCGACGAAGCUGAUGAGGAUGAUGAAGGUUGACUGGUGAGCUUUACUUUUCUGUUAUGAACAACGAUGAAUGGAGUUUGGUCUCCGGCAGCCGUAUCUCUCAAGUCCGAAGCAGGAGUUGAUGUGCUGAUGAUGAUGGCAGAAGUGGUGGCGGUUCUGUUUCGGGUCACGUUUAAGACAAGAUUCAAGGCUCGGUUCAAAUGUCGGGUGUCACGGAUCAGUUCAUUUUUGGCUCGGGUUGUGAUGCGGGUUAACUCGGUCAAACCCGAGUCAACUCGGGUCAACACAGAUAGCUCAGUCAACUCAGCGGUCAACUCGGUUCAGUUUAGGCACGGCCCGGUUUGACCAUGGAUCAGUUUUGGUUCAGAUAUAGUGCGGUCCGAAUUCGGUCGAAGAUGGUCAAACGGGUCAACAUCAGGUCAACGGCAGUCAACAAAGGCAGCCGCAAGACCCGGUAAAUAUUUAAUUGACACGAAAUUUCUCUUUAUACAGUUAUAGAUUUCACACUUAUACGCGAUCUGAGCUUGAACCGAUUCGAUUAAAAAAAAUUAGUUACAUUUUGAUAUAUUCGACAAGAAUUACAUAUACAUUGUUUGUUUGUUGAAUAAAUUGUUGAAUUUUGACAAAAUACGACAACUCUUGUUGUCGGGUUAUUCCAAAAACAGAGGAAACUCUACCCGAUUUUCGUUAAAACCCGAAUUAUAAAACGCGUUUAAUUCUUAACAACGACACUUAUCGGAGUCUAAGUUUCUUAUAAAAUAAAUGUAAAAGUAUAUUUAUUUUAGUGACGUUUUAUAACUUAUAAGCUGAAAUUAUAACAUUUCGACGACACGCAAGUUACAACUUAACGAAA
Molecule: RNA transcript, 1556 nt
Organism: Helianthus annuus (common sunflower)
Lineage: Eukaryota; Viridiplantae; Streptophyta; Magnoliopsida; Asterales; Asteraceae
Exons: 2
Source: RefSeq, a predicted model, not a curated record